Molecule: ribosomal RNA, 484 nt
Filed under: uncultured bacterium
Lineage: Bacteria
Description: partial 16S ribosomal RNA
Rfam family: Bacterial small subunit ribosomal RNA
Source: RNAcentral
AUUGAACGCUGGCGGCAUGCUUUACACAUGCAAGUCGAACGGCAGCGCGGGCUUCGGCCUGGCGGCGAGUGGCGAACGGGUGAGUAAUGCAUCGGAACGUGCCCAGUAGUGGGGGAUAGCCCGGCGAAAGCCGGAUUAAUACCGCAUACGACCUGAGGGUGAAAGCGGGGGACCGAAAGGCCUCGCGCUAUUGGAGCGGCCGAUGUCGGAUUAGCUAGUUGGUGGGGUAAAGGCUUACCAAGGCGACGAUCCGUAGCUGGUCUGAGAGGACGACCAGCCACACUGGGACUGAGACACGGCCCAGACUCCUACGGGAGGCAGCAGUGGGGAAUUUUGGACAAUGGGGGCAACCCUGAUACAGCCAUGCCGCGUGCGGGAAGAAGGCCUUCGGGUUGUAAACCGCUUUUGUUCGGGAAGAAAUCCUCUGGGCUAAUACCCCGGGGGGAUGACGGUACCGGAAGAAUAAGCACCGGCUAACUACGUG